This 506-nucleotide ribosomal RNA is filed under the name uncultured bacterium. Its description in RNAcentral is "partial 16S ribosomal RNA". It matches the Rfam family "Bacterial small subunit ribosomal RNA", at positions 28 to 523 of the family's 1533-position model. The record is from RNAcentral.
GAUGAACGCUAGCUACAGGCUUAACACAUGCAAGUUGAGGGGUAACGAGAGGAAAGCUUGCUUUCCUUGUCGACGACCGGCGCACGGGUGAGUAACGCGUAUCCAACCUGCCCCCAACUAGGGAAUAACCUUGCGAAAGUAAGACUAAUACCCUAUAAUUUCCUCAGAUGCCAUCUGCCGCGGAAUAAAGAUUUAUCGGUUGUGGAUGGGGAUGCGUCUGAUUAGCUUGUUGCCGGGGUAACGGCCUACCAAGGCAACGAUAAGUAGGGGUUCUGAGAGGAAGGUCCCCCACAUUGGAACUGAGACACGGUCCAAACUCCUACGGGAGGCAGCAGUGAGGAAUAUUGGUCAAUGGGCGGAAGCCUGAACCAGCCAAGUAGCGUGCAGGGUGACGGCCCUAUGGGUUGUAAACUGCUUUUAUACAGGAAUAAAGUUAGCCACGUGUGGUUAUUUGUAGGUACUGUAUGAAUAAGGACCGGCUAAUUCCGUGCCAGCAGCCGCCGUAA